AUACGUAGGUGGCAAGCGUUGUCCGGAAUUAUUGGGCGUAAAGCGCGCGCAGGUGGGAUAAUCAGUCUGAUGUUAAAGUUCGGGGCUUAACCCCGUGAAGCAUUGGAUACUGUUAUUCUUGAGUGCAGGAGAGGAAAGUGGAAUUCCUAGUGUAGCGGUGAAAUGCGUAGAUAUUAGGAGGAACACCAGUGGCGAAGGCGACUUUCUGGACUGUGUCUGACACUGAGGCGCGAAAGCCAGGGUAGUGAACGGGAUUAGAUACCCCGGUAAUCCUGGCCGUAAACGAUGGGUACUAGGUGUUGGGGGUAUCGACCCCUCCAGUGCCGGAGUUAACGCAAUAAGUACCCCGCCUGGGGAGUACGGCCGCAAGGUUGAA
RNAcentral lists this ribosomal RNA (376 nucleotides) under uncultured bacterium. RNAcentral's name for it is "bacterial SSU rRNA". It matches the Rfam family "Bacterial small subunit ribosomal RNA", at positions 523 to 898 of the family's 1533-position model. The record is from RNAcentral.